ACAACUGAAUCCUGAUGGCCAGAGACAGCAGGGGCAAAUGGCUUAAUCAUCCUGCCGAGGUCAAGUGUUGAUGUUGGGUUAGAACUCGCCAAAUGGUGGAGUAUCUAACUCUAUCUGGACUUGCCCUGGCGAUCGCCGGGGCUUUUUCUUUUUAUUU
Leptolyngbya sp. O-77 is the source of this 157-nucleotide non-coding RNA. The record is from Rfam. Lineage: Bacteria; Bacillati; Cyanobacteriota; Cyanophyceae; Leptolyngbyales; Leptolyngbyaceae.